RNAcentral lists this ribosomal RNA (468 nucleotides) under uncultured bacterium. RNAcentral describes it as "partial 16S ribosomal RNA". It matches the Rfam family "Bacterial small subunit ribosomal RNA", at positions 28 to 507 of the family's 1533-position model. The record is from RNAcentral.
GACGAACGCUGGCGGCGUGCUUAACACAUGCAAGUCGAACGGAAAGGCCCUGCGUUUGUGGGGUUCUCGAGGGGCGAACGGGUGAGUAACACGUGAGUAACCUGCCCUUGACUUUGGGAGAACUUCAGGAAGCUGGGGCUAAUACCGGAUCGGAUCUCCCGUUGCAUGGUGGGCGGUGGAAAGUCUCGGCGGUUGGGGAUGGACUCGCGGCUUAUGAGCUUGCUGGUUGGGGAGUGGCUUACCAAGGCAUGGACGGGUAGCCGGCCUGAGAGGGUGACCGGGCACAUUGGGACUGAGGUACGGACCAGACUGCUACGGGAGGCAGCAGUGGGGAAUAUUGCACAGUGGGAGGAAGCCUGAUGCAGCAGCGCCGCGGGCGGGAUGACGGCCUUCGGGGUGUAAAAAGCUUUCGCCUGUGACGAAGCGUGAGUGACGGUAAUGAAUGAAGAAGCACCGGCUAACUACGUG